RNAcentral lists this ribosomal RNA (253 nucleotides) under uncultured bacterium. RNAcentral describes it as "partial 16S ribosomal RNA". It matches the Rfam family "Bacterial small subunit ribosomal RNA", at positions 524 to 776 of the family's 1533-position model. The record is from RNAcentral.
GACGUACCGUGCGAGCGUUGUUCGGAUUUACUGGGCGUAAAGGGCGCGUAGGCGGCCUGCUAAGUCGGACGUGAAAUCCCCGGGCUCAACCCGGGAACUGCGUCCGAUACUGGUUGGCUUGAAUUCGGGAGAGGGAUGUGGAAUUCCAGGUGUAGCGGUGAAAUGCGUAGAUAUCUGGAGGAACACCGGUGGCGAAGGCGGCAUCCUGGACCGAUAUUGACGCUGAUGCGCGAAAGCCAGGGGAGCAAACGGG